AGCAGCCGCGGUAAUUCCAGCUCCAAUAGCGUAUAUUAAAGUUGCUGCAGUUAAAAAGCUCGUAGUUGAAUUUCGGGACUAAUAUGUCGGUCGUGCCUCGGUACGCACUGGCAUUAUUGGUUCUCCCUUCUGACGAACCAUGAUGUCAUUAAUUUGGUGUCUUGGGGAAUCAGGACUGUUACUUUGAAAAAUUAGAGUGUUUAAAGCAGGCUAACGCUUGAAUACAUUAGCAUGGAAUAAUGAAAUAGGACGUUUGAUCCUAUUUUGUUGGUUUCUAGGAUCGACGUAAUGAUUAAUAGGGAUAGUUGGGGGCAUUAGUAUUCAAUUGUCAGAGGUGAAAUUCUUGGAUUUAUUGAAGACUAACUACUGCGAAAGCAUUUGCCAAGGAUGUUUUCAUUAAUCAAGAACGAAAGUUAGGGGAUCGAAGACGAUCAGAUACCGUCGUAGUCUUAACCAUAAACUAUGCGACUAGGGAUCGGAUGAUGUUAAUUUUAAUGUACUCAUUC
RNAcentral lists this unclassified non-coding RNA (506 nucleotides) under uncultured Glomus. Its description in RNAcentral is "SSU rRNA". It matches the Rfam family "Eukaryotic small subunit ribosomal RNA", at positions 569 to 1081 of the family's 1831-position model. The record is from RNAcentral. Lineage: Eukaryota; Fungi; Glomeromycota; Glomeromycetes; Glomerales; Glomeraceae.